This 253-nucleotide ribosomal RNA is filed under the name uncultured bacterium. Its description in RNAcentral is "partial 16S ribosomal RNA". It matches the Rfam family "Bacterial small subunit ribosomal RNA", at positions 524 to 776 of the family's 1533-position model. The record is from RNAcentral.
UACGUAGGUGGCAAGCGUUGUCCGGAUUUACUGGGUGUAAAGGGCGUGUAGCCGGGCUUACAAGUCAGAUGUGAAGUCCGGGGGCUCAACCCCCGAACUGCAUUUGAAACUGUAGGUCUUGAGUAUCGGAGAGGCAGGCGGAAUUCCUAGUGUAGCGGUGAAAUGCGUAGAUAUUAGGAGGAACACCAGUGGCGAAGGCGGCCUGCUGGACGACAACUGACGGUGAGGCGCGAAAGCGUGGGGAGCAAACAGG